This 253-nucleotide ribosomal RNA is filed under the name uncultured bacterium. RNAcentral describes it as "partial 16S ribosomal RNA". It matches the Rfam family "Bacterial small subunit ribosomal RNA", at positions 524 to 776 of the family's 1533-position model. The record is from RNAcentral.
UACGUAGGGACCAAGCGUUGUUCGGAUUUACUGGGCGUAAAGGGCGCGUAGGCGGCAAUUCAAGUCAUCUGUGAAAUCUCCGGGCUUAACUCGGAACGGUCAGGUGAAACUGCUUUGCUAGAGUGCGGAAGGGGCAAUCGGAAUUCUCGGUGUAGCGGUGAAAUGCGUAGAUAUCGAGAGGAACACCUGAGGUGAAGACGGGUUGCUGGGCCGACACUGACGCUGAAGCGCGAAAGCCAGGGGAGCAAACAGG